Molecule: ribosomal RNA, 510 nt
Filed under: uncultured bacterium
Lineage: Bacteria
Description: partial 16S ribosomal RNA
Rfam family: Bacterial small subunit ribosomal RNA
Source: RNAcentral
GUCGAACGCUGGCGGCGUGCUUAACACAUGCAAGUCGAACGAAGAGCGACGGAAGCUUGCUUCUAUCAAUCUUAGUGGCGAACGGGUGAGUAACGCGUAAUCAACCUGCCCUUCAGAGGGGGACAACAGUUGGAAACGACUGCUAAUACCGCAUACGAUCUAAUCUCGGCAUCGAGGAUGGAUGAAAGGUGGCCUCUACAUGUAAGCUAUCACUGAAGGAGGGGAUUGCGUCUGAUUAGCUAGUUGGAGGGGUAACGGCCCACCAAGGCGAUGAUCAGUAGCCGGUCUGAGAGGAUGAACGGCCACAUUGGGACUGAGACACGGCCCAGACUCCUACGGGAGGCAGCAGUGGGGAAUCUUCCGCAAUGGACGAAAGUCUGACGGAGCAACGCCGCGUGAGUGAUGACGGCCUUCGGGUUGUAAAGCUCUGUUAAUCGGGACGAAAGGCCUUCUUGCGAAUAGUGAGAAGGAUUGACGGUACCGGAAUAGAAAGCCACGGCUAACUACGUG